GAUGAACGCUGGCGGCGUGCUUAACACAUGCAAGUCGAACGGAAAGGCCCAAGCUUGCUUGGGUACUCGAGUGGCGAACGGGUGAGUAACACGUGGGUGAUCUGCCCUGCACUUCGGGAUAAGCCUGGGAAACUGGGUCUAAUACCGGAUAGGACCACUUCUUGGAUGUUGUGGUGGAAAGUUUUUUCGGUGUGGGAUGAGCUCGCGGCCUAUCAGCUUGUUGGUGAGGUAAUGGCCUACCAAGGCGUCGACGGGUAGCCGGCCUGAGAGGGUGUACGGCCACAUUGGGACUGAGAUACGGCCCAGACUCCUACGGGAGGCAGCAGUGGGGAAUAUUGCACAAUGGGCGCAAGCCUGAUGCAGCGACGCCGCGUGGGGGAUGACGGCCUUCGGGUUGUAAACUCCUUUCGCUAGGGACGAAGCGUUUUGUGACGGUACCUGGAGAAGAAGCACCGGCUAACUACGUG
Molecule: ribosomal RNA, 467 nt
Filed under: uncultured bacterium
Lineage: Bacteria
Description: partial 16S ribosomal RNA
Rfam family: Bacterial small subunit ribosomal RNA
Source: RNAcentral